Molecule: ribosomal RNA, 325 nt
Filed under: uncultured bacterium
Lineage: Bacteria
Description: bacterial SSU rRNA
Rfam family: Bacterial small subunit ribosomal RNA
Source: RNAcentral
GACGAACGCUGGCGGCGUGCCUAACACAUGCAAGUCGAACGAGGUAAAUAAGUUGAAGUUUUCGGAUGGAUUCUUAUUUACCGAGUGGCGGACGGGUGAGUAACGCGUGGGUAACCUGCCUCAUACAGGGGGAUAACGGGUUAGAAAUGACUGCUAAUACCGCAUAAGCGCACAGUACCGCAUGGUACGGUGUGGAAAACUCCGGUAGGUAUGAGAUGGGCCCGCGUCUGAUUAGCUAGUUGGUGAGGUAACGGCCCACCAAGGCGACGAUCAGUAGCCGACCUGAGAGGGUGACCGGCCACAUUGGGACUGAGACACGGCCCAG